UGGCCUGUGAUGCCUCGUUUAGAUUUGUAAACUGCGUUGCAAAAUGGCCGGGUAGUGUACAUGAUUCCCGUGUGUUUAGAGAAUCGUCUCUUGCUAGACUCUUCGAAACUGAGCGAGGUGGCACUGAGGUGAACGUGUCUGAAGAUGAGGUGGCACUGAGGUGAACGUGUCUGAAGAUGAGGUGGCACUGAGGUGAACGUGUCUGAAGAUGAAUCUUGACCCUCGCUGCAUGUUGAGAUGGAUGCCACCUGAUCCCUUUCCUUCUCUAAUUCCGUUAAAACAGAAUGAUGUAACUAUUCAAUGAUGCAUAAAAUAAAAAUAUGAGUAACUUUGA
Long non-coding RNA from Saccostrea echinata, 334 nucleotides. RefSeq lists it as uncharacterized. The record is from RefSeq and is a predicted model, not a curated record. Lineage: Eukaryota; Metazoa; Mollusca; Bivalvia; Ostreida; Ostreidae. The transcript has 2 exons.